Molecule: long non-coding RNA, 417 nt
Organism: Talpa occidentalis (Iberian mole)
Lineage: Eukaryota; Metazoa; Chordata; Mammalia; Eulipotyphla; Talpidae
Exons: 3
Source: RefSeq, a predicted model, not a curated record
UCUUUCCGCCCACCACUACCACCGGCCCCCCACCCGGCCACCCUGGCUGGGCACCCGAACCACUCAGGCUGAACUUAGUUCCACACUCCUCGGGGGCAGCCCGGAAGCCGGCUCCCCGAGCGGAGCCCCCCAGAUUGGUCGGAGGGACGCCCCUGCGGGCAGAUUCUGACGGCAUACUUAGCAAGGCACAGCGCUGGGCACCAUGCGGCCUGCAAAGACUUCAGGAAGCAUGAAUAAACAAACAAACUGAGGUAUAAGCAAUGGUGAUUGGAAACCAGUGUUCAUCCACCGAGUGUCUCUCCUACUAAAAAUUCUGUGAUGUCAUCAUGUGCCUCCUUAAGAGAGACAUCCACAUGCCAGAACUGUUAUCCUGGUUGUUGAACAUUAAAUGCUGCUUACCCUGAAUAUCCCAAGAUU